ACACUCCUGCGGGAGGCAGCAGUGGGGAAUUUUGGACAAUGGGCGAAAGCCUGAUCCAGCAAUGCCGCGUGUGUGAAGAAGGCCUUCGGGUUGUAAAGCACUUUUGUCCGGAAAGAAAUCCUUGGCUCUAAUACAGUCGGGGGAUGACGGUACCGGAAGAAUAAGCACCGGCUAACUACGUGCCAGCAGCCGCGGUAAUACGUAGGGUGCGAGCGUUAAUCAGAAUUACUGGGCGUAAAGCGUGCGCAGGCGGUUUGCUAAGACCGAUGUGAAAUCCCCGGGCUCAACCUGGGAACUGCAUUGGUGACUGGCAGGCUAGAGUAUGGCAGAGGGGGGUAGAAUUCCACGUGUAGCAGUGAAAUGCGUAGAGAUGUGGAGGAAUACCGAUGGCGAAGGCAGCCCCCUGGGCCAAUACUGACGCUCAUGCACGAAAGCGUGGGGAGCAAACAGGAUUAGAUACCCCUGUAGUCCCAU
Molecule: ribosomal RNA, 474 nt
Filed under: uncultured organism
Description: partial 16S ribosomal RNA
Rfam family: Bacterial small subunit ribosomal RNA
Source: RNAcentral